GCGGCGGGCCUAACACAUGCAAGUCGAACGGGCUAGCAAUAGUCAGUGGCGCGACGGGUGACGUAACACGUGGGUAAUCAACCCUUCAGCGUCGGGAUAACGCCUUAGGAAAGGGCGACUAAUACCGGAUGCGACGCGAGGAGCCUCGGCGCUUCGGACGGGAAAGAUUCGCAAGGAUCACUGAAGGACGAGCCUGCGGCCCAUCAGCUAGUUGGUGAGGUAAGAGCUCACCAAGGCGAAGACGGGUAGCUGGUCUGAGAGGAUGAUCAGCCACACUGGAACUGAGACACGGUCCAGACUCCUACGGGAGGCAGCAGUGGGGAAUAUUGCGCAAUGGGCGAAAGCCUGACGCAGCCACGCCGCGUGAGCGAUGAAGGCCUUCGGGUCGUAAAGCUCUGUGGGGAGAGAAGAAUAAAGCCUGUGAAGAAUGGGCCUUGACGGUAUCUCCUUAGCAAGCACCGGCUAACUCCGUG
RNAcentral lists this ribosomal RNA (473 nucleotides) under uncultured bacterium. Its description in RNAcentral is "bacterial SSU rRNA". It matches the Rfam family "Bacterial small subunit ribosomal RNA", at positions 39 to 507 of the family's 1533-position model. The record is from RNAcentral.